Cygnus olor (mute swan) is the source of this 14233-nucleotide long non-coding RNA. RefSeq lists it as uncharacterized. NCBI's taxonomy places the organism in Eukaryota, Metazoa, Chordata, Aves, Anseriformes, Anatidae. The record is from RefSeq and is a predicted model, not a curated record. The transcript has 6 exons.
GUAAACUUAACAAACAUUAAUAUCCAAGCACCUAUGAAUCUUGAAAUUUAGAUCCCAAUGUACUUUGGAUACUGUAAUGUUUAUUUUCUUUUUAAAUUUUGAGCAUAGUGCUGCAUACUGAAGAAAGCCAUGUAGCUAUUUCCUAAUAAUUUGGGGUCUUUAAAGAGUUCUCAUGUGAAGUAAAGACAACAGUUUUCACACUCAAAAUGCAGUUCAAGAUUUAAUAUCUGAUCUAAACAAGCAAGUUAUGGUGACUACAUUUAUACUGUAAUCCUUUUAAAGGAGCAUUGUGCCUCUUUCAGCAACUUGUUCUUUAUUUCUGGCAAGAUAAAAUUAUAUCAUUUUUCUGAAGAGCGUCUAAAGUGCUACAUGAUAUGUAAUGGCCUAGAGGGUGUUGCAUUAAAGUAGGCUGAACUGUUACUUUACAUGCUUUAUGGAUUCCUGAUUCUCCAAUAUCAUAACUUUCCUCACCAAGAGAAGGUCUGGGUUAUGCUAAGUAUCUCCUAUUAAUUUUCAGAAUUAGAGUGGAUUCUAAUGUUCUACUUGUCUUGCACAAGUAGACUGAAGAUAGAGGAGGGUUUAGUGGUUGAUUAUGGGGGUUGUCCAUAUAUGUCUUCUAAAUUGAUGUGGGUAAUCCAGACAACACUUGUUUACAGACAACUGGAUAAGCGUCUCUGCCCAUGAUUGGUUUUGUGGGUUACAGCUGCUUAUAGAGCACGCUAAAUAAGCUACAUCUCUCUUAUGUAUUUUUUUUUGCUUCUUUUAAUUUCCUCUAUUUUGUUAGUUUUCCAGUAUUUCUCCUUCUAUGUGUGCAGUAGGAGCAUAGAGGAGUUGUACUGGAAGGACACUGAAUAUUGUAUGUGGCAGUAGAACUGCUCAUUGGUUGUCCUGGGAUUAUGAUCUAUUGAAAACAAUAGACAAGGCCUGUCGUAGGCUGCUGUGUCUUAGGGUUUUCUGUUAUUUUUAAUAUCUUUAUCUAGGUAGUGAUGACUAGAUGUGUACUUUGAUUCUUGAUGUCAGCCUUGCCUUUCUUGUUGUGGAGGACAAGAAAGCCCCUGCUCACCCUGAGCUUUGAGUGAAGAGUGGGUAUGUGAACACAUAUAUAGUAAGCAAUUAAAAUACAACUGUAUACUACACUACAUUAUUCUUACGAUGUUUUUGUGUAGUAUAGGGAUAGACAAUGGCAAAUAAUGUGUGUAUAUAUGGCUGGUGUUUUGUAAUCUUUCCGUACAGCCUGAUUUGCUUAAUUUUAUAACUUGAUUGAACUGAAGUUUUGUCUCUUUCAAUGGUAAAACAUUGUAUUUUGAAGAAGGGUUACUGAAGUAAGAGCUAAUUUGUAGUUAUUCUAGACUUCCUUGUGCUUGAGUGCUUUGCAGUGGGAGCUGUGUGUGCCUGCCAGCCUGCCUCUCAGACCUUUCUCUCUUUCACCUCUUGUGUAGCCAGGACAGCCAAUGGAAGGAGCAUCUCCAGGCCAAUCCUACUGCAGAUGUCAUUGUUUCAUUUCUAAUAAUCUUAGCAAAAAGACUGCUCCUUUCAUAGUAGUGGGGAUAAUUUCUAUAAACAAGGCAAAUAAUUGAUUCUUUACAAGGGUUUCCUUUUUUUCUAAUUAACAAAAAAUAAAAGCUGAUUGAACUCAGAUUUCGUAUAUUUUAUUAUGAGCCUAACUGACCCUUCUAGUGCUAUAACUAGAAAUGGACAGCAAGCUGCCAGUUUAUAUGGCUACUUCAAAUAGCUUACAGUUUAAAUCCUGCUUGCGCUACAUUUAAGAGUGAGAUGACUUCUAGUCCUCUGGCUGUGUAUGUUGGUCUGAAUACUCAAAAGGCUGAAAUACUACAUCUUACUCUGCUUCUACAAAAGAGAGAUUGCUCAGAGUGAAAGACUUAUUCUGCAUGAUGAAAAUGAGAAUUGCCAGAAUACAAAAUUAUUCUAAACUCAUUGGCUGAGAUUAAAACUUGCUUCAUUAUUUUCAGCCCUCUGUGGAUGCACAGGCCAAACAUCAGUAACCUGCAAGAUUUGUUAAAGGCUUUACUAUUCUAAUUCCCACUGGGGUAUUUUAAUGGCAGCUGUUAAAAUUCUCAGACUGGAGCUUCACAUCCGUAUUCCCUUCCUCACAGACACCUGUAAUGGGUUUCAUCUGUUUUCUUUGUUAUUCCCUCUGCUCAUUUAAAUGUAAUGUGCAUUUCUCAUCACACCACUGGAUUAACUUUUAUAUAAAUUACUGAAAUGCACAGAUACACACACACAUGCUUAUCCCAGAAGAGCAGAGGAUAGGAUUUUGGGCUCGAGUAUAAAGCUGGCUAAAGAAAAAUACUGUAGUAAAAUCCUCAUGCCUUUCUUUAAAACAAAAGAAAAUUUGUGUUAUGUGGCCAGUAAGGUGAGGCCUUUUGAAGCUUCUCCUGAAGUUAUCUUCCCUGUUCCCUCAGAAAUGAAUGCCAGGAAUGAAGAAACUCAUUCCAUUUAUACUUUUGCUGUGUUACUACCAGUCAUGUGGUCUUUCUACCUCUUCCCUGCAGUCCUCUUUCUCAUUUAUAUUGGGUAGAAUCAUGGCUUUGCUAGUUUUCUCUUGGGAUGAGUUGGCCAGAUAUGGGGAGGGUAUUGUAUUGCCUCAGGGAUUAUUCAUUUCUAGGACCUUUAUUCUGCAAGUGAUGUAUUAAUGGAACGUACUAAUAGGUGUUUUAACCUGAUACCUGAUUGAAAUUCCAAUUGAACCUGCCUUGAUUCAUCUAUGACAUAAGCAAUUCAGGGUGCCAGCCUUGCAUUUGCACCUGAGUUAACUCAAAAAUAACUUGUGUACAGUGGUUGUUAAAGCUGAGGCAGGGUCACUGAACAGUCUGAGACAGUGAUGUUAAGCUAUAAACUUUCUGCUGCCACAACUGUUCUUUGCAACACCUCACUCAGCACUUUGAAGUCAUGUUGGUGAGUCUCCACUACUGGAGUCCCAACAGGGAUCACAGAAUAGAUACAGCUCAUGAAUUAAAGGUAUGAGAUCAGCUGAGAUGUAGUCAUUAAGAAUUUAAUCUGCAGAAGAUGCAUGCUGCAAUGCUGGUCAAAUUCAGUUUUAGUAGGAGGCCAGGCUUGUAUGAAUCUUAUUUAAUUCCCUUACUCAGUGAGCAGGGAGCAAAAAAAAAAAAAAAACUUAAUCUAGAUGAGUCAGUGUUAUGUACCUCUUUGCAAACACUUUUCCCAAAUGAGCAGUGUUGCCAACUUAGCUGGAAGAAAGGCCUGCUGUGAUGACUCUGCCAUCUUAUUUCCUUUUACAACCUGUAUAUGAGGCUGGCAGGCUGUUCUUUCAUCAGUCAAGCAUUGCUCUUGGGAUAAAAUAAUAUUACGGAUUUGGAUGAAGAUGUGGUCCUUGUAGCUGUUGACAAGGAUGGGAAUUACAUGAGACUGGUAAAUGGUGUAGUGGUCUUAGGAGGAAAAAUGCUAGUGCAAAAAUGUGAAAUACUCUGUUUGAACAAAACCAGUUCUGCUUUGCCUUGAUUUUUUGAUUUUAGUUACUUAAGGAACUAGAAAUAAAAUCCUGCUAUUACAACUAUGCAACUUUGGCAUUUUAACUCCCAACACUUACUGUUGUUGUUCAUUUGCACUACCACUGCGUGCAGAGGCCCAAUCCAGGUUUAUAGUUACUUUAUAUGCCUAGCUAACAACAACAAAAAAAAAUCCUGUAAGAAGUUUGCAGUGGGAGGUUGGAGAAAAGCAGUAUUUUAAAGGAACAAAAUCAGAAACAUGGAGAGCAAGCAACCUCCUAAAAUUAAUCCCCAGUGAAAAUCAGAUGAAGUAGAGUUUACAUGGUACUUCUAGCAGAGCUAGAAAAAAAGCGUUUCCAUUACAGUGUUUUGAUUUACGAGGCCUUUUCCAACCAAACCAUGUAACCAUAGUUUAAUAUUCAAAAUCCACAGGGAGAAGCAGCAAUCAGAUAGAACAGAAGAUGUAUUUUAGAAUAGUACCAACAACUUCAGCAUUACCAAAAAAAAGGUUCCUACAGUGUACUUUGUGUGAAGAAUGAAGGUAUGUUUUGAAUCUUGCUUUUAUUUGGAUGUUGUAAAAUUCAAUCAUAUGUGCAUAUUUAACUAGGAAAAAAAUGGCAUCUUACAGAAGGUCUCUAUCUGUCAUACCUUAAAAGCAAAGAGAAGAGUAUCUAAUAAUAAAAAAAAUGCUAUUUUUAAUAGACUACUAUAAAGUUGUUACCUGUGCGUAAAGCAUAAAGAACAAUGCUAUCUUGUUAUAAUGUGUCAAAAUACUCUUUAAUGAGGAAAGGUAUAUAAAAUGCACAGAGUAGGGUACAACAGCUACUAAUACCUUCAUUAUUGUCUGUCAAAAAAUGACAGUGCUAUCAGUAAAUGAAUGAGCUCGAAGGAAUAAACAGCUUGUAGAAAUUGCUUUCACAGUGAUCUCUAACCAGAUGCAGUUUAAGCCUUCAAAUUUCAGUGUAGUCAUUUUGGCAAUAGCAACGUAUGAAUAUGUUAGGUGUCAAAAAUGUUUUUCUCUGUUUUCUGUAGUUAGGGACUUGGAGUGUUUUUUUGGAUUUAAAUAAUCUUCAUGAAAUAUAGGUACAUUCUGCCCACUAAAAAAUUGCUUAGCCACUAGCAUUAUUCUGGACUGCAGAAUUCAACCUACUAAUUACACUUUAAACAAGUACAGUUGUGGGGUUUUGUCCUUUCGGAAUUAAUGGACCUCUUUGUCUUGCUUGAGGCAUAUCAGAGCGAUACCAUGAACAAAAUGCUAAUCUGACCCUUGGUUCCAGGACUUGUUUCUUGGGCUUCAGCAUAAUAUUUUUGAGGCUCGUUCCAGUAAUAAAUUACAGUUUUAAUGAUGGUUCUGCUAACAUAUGGCAAGUAUAAAACACUUUUAAUAGUUUAAGCAACAUAGCUUCCAUUAAAUCUUUGCAAGGACUGAAGAACAGUAAAUUAACAGCCCAAUUAUUCAUUUGUUGUUCCUUGCUGAAUUAUUUAACACCUUUCUCUUUCCUGCUUUAGUGAAUAGUCUAUGUUAGAAAUACUAUUACUAAUCCAGUUACCAAAUCUUCAACCAUAUUUACUGCUCCAUUUAUUUUACAUCUGUACAUGAUGUUUACCUGAGAAGCAAUGAAGGCAGACUCAAUUUCUUCUAAAUCAAUAUUUUUUCAAGCGCCUGCCCAAACUGAUGAUGUUUAAACCAGGACAAUUUAAAAAGAUGAAGUAAGAAACUCAUGAAAAUUUCUAUAGAGGAGUAGUUUUUUCUGACUUCUAACAGCCUAAUUAUUUAUGAAUUUAAAAGUAAAGUUUGCCUCCUGCCAAUACCUUCCUGAGUUUAAUGUUCUUGGUUGUGCUUCUGAUCUUGUGGUUAGCUUGUGCUCUUAAGAGAAAACUCACUGCUGUACAGAGCACAAGAUUAGCAAAGGCUGAAAGCAUGACAACUCUGGUAACAAGAAUAUGUAUCUGUAGUAUCCCUUAGAAGUAAGACUCUGGCUAAAGUAUCUGAUUUUUCUGUACACACUUUGAAAGACAAAAUCUUUGCUUAAUGGUUAAAGGUUGAAGUCUGAGACAUGGGGAAAGAGAGAGCAGGGGAAAGGUGACAGUUUAUUUUAAAAAGGCACAUUCCAACCUUUACUUAGUUUAUGUCUAUUUUAUACAGUUUAAAUUAGCUAAAUUUUGGUACAUUUGUUUUAAUGUACUUAUCCAAGCAAUCUGUCAGUUACCUAGUAGUGUUUAUUUACAGAUUGAAUUCUGGUGCCAUCAUCUGUUGAGAACGUAUAAUUGCAACAUGGGCAGACUGGGAUCCUAAAAACAUCUAGAUUACAUUUAUAUUGCUUGUUUCACAUAUAACUUCAAUUCUUAUACUUACAGAAAGACAUUACAUAUGCUAUUUAAAAAAAAAAAGUUGUCUAUGCAAUGGAGCAGCCAUUUUCUGUUGGGUUGGAUAUCACGUGUGAAAACUAGUAACGGCAAAGCAGAAGUUUACAAGGAGAUGAACUACACAAUGUGAACUUUAUAAGUGCAUGUGUAAAGUUGACUUCAUGUAGCCACUUUGUCAAAAACUACUGUCCCUGAAAUUUUACAGCGAGAGUAUGUGUUGUAGUUAUUCUGUUUGGAAACUGUUACUCUUUGGAAUAUUUUUUGGAAACUGUUUUGUUUUGGUAAAGAGUUUCUGACCUGCAAGAACAAAGCUAUUUGAAAGUAGUAAAAACUGCUUGAAUUCUGCAGCUCUAGAUACUGGAGCUCAAGCUUUCAUUCUCUUUCCUGGGAAUAAACUAUCCCAGCAGUAUUCUGUGUUUUUGUCAAUACUAGCAUCUGCAGAAUGGAGUGUGACUGAUUUAUUUGCUUUAGCAAAAAGUGUGUAUUUAAAUUCAGAAGAUCAUCCAGUGGCAAGAAGAUUCAAUGGGUCUUACUUGCUGGUAAUAGAUGCCUACAGUGUAUCAGACAUCUCUAGGUGUGAGGUGUGGUAGUAGGAAGGUUCCUUUCUACAUUUGUAGCUUAUUGCCACUGGAUUAUAAACUUUUCUUUAUUCAUAGGUUCAGUCUCAGGCUUUUUUUACCAAGUUAAUUUACCAAGUUAAUGUUUAUCGGAGUCCAGCAAAAGAAAUAAGUAUGCAAGUGGUGGAGAGAUGUCUGGAGUCACACGUAUUAGAACGAAGAGCAACACGUGGUUAUACCUCAGGCCUAAGUGCCUGAGGUUUGUGGGUGAAAGUCAUCUGUCCAAAGAUGUCUGCAUCAGCGCUGAUCUUUUUCUGGUAACAGCCAGUGAAGAGAGAUGCUGACAUGCCCUCACUCUCCGGUAGACAUAGCAGGCAGGUGGAUCUGCUGCUCUCUCUUGACAGUAGCAGGAGCUCUGGCAGAUUCAGCUGGAGAUGCUACCUUAAUGGUCUGAACUUUGCUAAAAACGUAUGCCAUACAAUAUAUCCAUGCUGUUGCCAGAUUGCUGCUGUAGAGAAAGAAACUCCAUGAUGAAUAUCCACAAAAUCCUUAGCAACAAAAUAUUUAUAUAUCAGUUAUAAUUCAGUGAAAGAUGUGUGCUGCACUUUAAGCUACCCAGGUGUACUCAAAACUUGUUGCUGAUUUUUGCAGUCUCUUAAUCUUCCUGUUUAUUCUGUGCUUCAUUAAAGUCAAUCUCUGCUGGACAAACUGUCACUCAGGCUAGGCCUGUCCUGCUGUCUGCAGUCUCUGGGGAGCACCCUUCAUCCUGAUAAAUGGUCUAUUAGGAGAGCACGUCAAAGAGAAACCCUCCUUGAAGCUAAAUAGAUUACAGUCUCUUCCUUCUGAACAAUCUCAGUGGAAUGGGGGCUGGCCAGGUGCUGAGCAGCCAAAUGUUGCCAGUGACCAAAACUCAGUCCCUGCAGGUGGGCAUGUGAAAGUUUGGGACAAGCCGCUGCAAAGCUCCUUGACACUAUGCCCAAGCUCAAGGUGUCCAGAGGAGGACUUGUGCAGGCAUCUCCCUUCUUAUGUACACCUUGCGUCUGGACUGGGUUGGACACCAUUCUCUUCUGCUUGUGCGCAGAGUAACAGGGUGCUCUCCCAUGACUCACUAAUCCAGCUUGGGAGCCAAGCAAGCUGCUAGUGAGGAGUCUGAUGUCAAAAUGCACUGGUACAUGUAAGUAGAAAUCAAUAAACAUGAAUUAUUUAGGAGACAGGAUAAAAAUGGGUGAGUAUUAAAAUAGAACCAAUUCACUGUAUAAGCACUAAGGAACGUGUUUGAAUUCCUAGCAAUUUUGCAGCAAAUCCAUUUAGAAUCUCAAUUUAUGUGCAUACAACCAAAGUGGAAGUGAAUAUUUCAUUAUCUAAAUGUAAAUGAAUUAUAUAUAAAUUUUAACUAAACUGCAUGAACUAACUGUUAAAGAUCAAGUAUCUUAAGUUAGAAUACCUGUGGUAUAUAAAAGCAGAAGUAUCUAGCCGGAUGGUGUGACAAUAAGGAGCAACUGUAUUUCAAAUAACAAGCAUGUAGAAAUUGCGUGGGGUCAGUCAAGGAGCAGAGGGAUUUGACUGACUAACAAAGUUUAAAACAAGCUGGAAGGAAGAGAUGAGACAGUUUAGGAGUGACAGCUCUCCCUGUGCGACUGGUAGAAGGUUUUAACAUUGCUUCGAGGUGGAGAAAAAAAAUCUAUAGUAGAAAUGGUAGCAAACGAGACAGACUGAGUCAAGCAAUUUACUCUGCUAGACACCAAAUGCUUUUUUGAAGCUGUUCCAACCCAAUCCAUUCUAUGAUAUGAUUCCGGGAUUUCAAAAAUGAUCUCAGAACAAGUACCAAUGGCCAAAGAAAACCAGAAGAAAGUUUCUGUGUUGGUGGGGCAAAGAGAAGGUCUCAUUUAAUUGAAUCAAAUUGCCUAAACUUCUUUUAGGGAGGAUGCUUAUGUGCAUAUAUAGAGCUCAUAGACAGCCAGAGACAGGACUAAGGCUCCUGCCUUGCAACACAGCACUCUGGCUGGGAGCAUGGUGUCUCCUCCCUCUGCUUGGGGUAUCCCUAAGAGCCCAGACUGCCCUCCCUGGGGCCCUCCAAGAAAAAUGGCCCAUCAUCUUAGAAAGCUUAUGUCAGUCAGACCAUGAGACCAGUACUGCUUUGUGAUAAGCAGAGAGGCAGAUGAGAAUAAUGGCAAUUAGGUACCUGGGGAGGUGUGUUCAGUGAUAGCCUUUAGGAGGUGGUGGUGUACCCAUUCAAGUGCAGUACAGGUAUAAACACACUAAUCUGCUUGAUGUUCCUGCUGUCCAAGUAUGACAAGCAUUGUUGCCAGCAUGAGCAAAGCAGUAAGAUAAAGUAGCUUUUUGAAUGCCAUGCAGCAAAUUACAGACAAAACCAGAAUUUAGGCACACCUAAUCCUUAGUCUGUCCAAUCCUACUAAUUGCUCAAAGUCUCUGUGUUGUUGUCACAUACAAAAGGUAAUUACAUAUUUGAAAAUGUUCCCUGCUAGUUGCUUGGAGAGCUAUUAAAGAACCUACAUGCGAGGGAUGAAUGAGACUAAGUUUUUCCAUUGUUCAGAAGAAAUGCAGGAUGGGCAAACUCUGUGUACAGAAAUAGUGCUCUGAAUAGCAGAAGAAAGAUUUUAGUACCAGCUUUUACAGUGGAAUUGACAAAUGUGAGGAUUAUUAGUCCACAAAAUGUAAGAAAAUGACUGUGGAUGUUCCAGCCCUUCAAGUGUUUAGAAUCUCCAAUAUUUUCAGAGUCUGCAGGAUUAGCCCCUGGUUUGCAAAGGUAAAGCCUUACCUGAUAGGCUUUCAAGGAACAUUCCUCUUGGAAGAAAUAAUUCAAACCAUCAGUUCAUUCUAGAGCGUUAUUAGAGACCUUCAUCACUGUGCUGCAGAUACUGGUUUCCUUGUGCAUGGAGUGAAUUAGUGCUAUGUUUCAGCUGGAUUUCAUGAUUGUAUUAUCCAGUCAGUAUUAAAAUCCAUUCAUGCCAAUCCUUUGAAAUACCAACCUGUUGUGAAUGCAAUGUCAUGCUUUGUGGGAGCUAGUUACAUUAUGAAAGAAACAAAAUGUGUGUAUGGUAGGCUGCUUUGAAAUGCUGUACUCCUAGACAAGCAGGAAGGGGUAAAAAGGAAAAAAAAAACUGAAAAUCUCUGGGUAGGUUAAGUUCUAGCAAAUUACUGAUUUCUUAACCAUAUUAUUCCCUCAAAGAUAAAAACAUCCUGUGUCUUCGUUCUGCUGCUGGAGUUGAUCAAUUCAACAAAGCUGUCCAAGCAAAGAAUUAAACCUACUGUAUGACUCUCACCACUGGACACUGAGAAUUGUGCAGGCGAAGAAAGCAUAUUUCUGCCUCCUCUGCCUGUCUGGUUCUUGCCAUGACUUACCACAGCUCAUAUGUACGUGUUUUGCAGCAUCAUCAAAGCUUUUGAAUAAAACAUCAGGGAGCCUACUAAAGAUACCCCAGGGCUCCUGCAGAUGUCCCCACACGGGGCAAGGAAGCAGAGCCUUCACCAGCCCAGGGCUUUUUCCAGAACUCUGCUGAGCUGACUGGCAGGAUGAAAUGCCAGAGCAGGAGAUGGACACAGGCUUUCACAUUGCUCUCAGCCCUUUCUGGGGUUGUUGUUUGUUUUCUGUUUAUAGCCCUUUGGUUGCCCUUCCCAUUGUUUUAGUGAUGUUGUGGCUUAGGGUUACAGUUACAGACUAGCUUGUUAAAUACUUUGUUAGAUGCUGAAUUCUGAAAAUGUCAGUUUUAUUCUGUUUUCCCCUCUCUGCUAAAUUCCCCUUUAGAGUUCCUCAGCUUUUACUUACACACAAAUGUUAAAAUGAACUCUUUGGAAUUACUGUUUGGUGUGUCUUGCAGGAAGGAGAGGGGUUCUGCUUUCUUCUAAGCACAUUUCUUGGUGCUCUUUUGCACUCAAAUUAGAAAUAUAUGCAAACACGUGGGCUUGGUGCUUCCAAGGAAUUAGGCAGUCCAGGGAGCAUGUGCCAUCUCACCCUUUUACUGGGUACAUACUUUACUAUGGGGGCUAAUACAGGGAGGAGGAGAAGAGUAAAGCUCAGCAUUUGACAGAUUUUUCUCAAUAUCUUUUUCAGUCAUGGAAACGAUAAAUAUUCCUUCCAGAGAUGUGCUUUCUGAUGGUAGUGCAUUAAAAAUGCUGGAAAUGGAAAACAUGACCAGGUAGAGUAUUUAAGAGGCAGGCAGAAGUUGAAGUGCAGGAUGAUGGCUGGGUUGAAGGCAAUGACUGGUUUUCCUCUGAGACAGUCCCCUUCCCCAUCUUGGCAGAUGAGCUGAUUUCAGGAUGGUCACUCGAAUGUUUCUUUUGAACCCCAUGCAGAAAAGACAAUGAAAGAUAAGAAAAAGUAGCAUAAAUGCAAGUUUGUUACUUAAUCUCUGUUUCCAAAUUAAAUGCUACAAAUGGAUCUUGUUAUCUUGAAGGGCACUUCUUAACAGAUAAAUAGAUCACAGUGUUCACACAGAAGUCUGAGUAAGCUUCAUACAACUUUCUUGAUGAGCUUUUAUAAGCAGAAUUGUCAUACCCAUAAACAUUUAGAUUCUCAACUAAACAUCGCUGUCCGUUUUCAUUAAAAAGAAAUCGGUCCUUUUGCUUGAACUUGUGAUCUCAAUUCUUUUUCAGUUUAACUGGGGGAACAAAAGUUUAAAUUGAAGUGGAUAAAGCUCUUGCUGCACAAACAAGAAUGUCAUAGUAGUUUUACGAUCAUCUUUACACAGAACUCUGUUCUGCCUAGGACAUUUGCUUAAAAAAAAAAAAAAAAGAUUACAGGUAAAGCAGAAAGCCUGGUAAUUGCAGCUUGUAUUUUCCCCUGUGUUUGCUAGUUGGAUUAAAAAGAGCAUGGUGGACAUUGCUUUCAAAUUAUUUUUUAAUCACUGAAUGCUAGGAAAGUUGUGCCAAAUGCACUUGAGAAAUUCUCUGCUCCAUAACCUGAGCAGAUCUACUAGCCAGGCAGCCAGUUGGCAGGAAAGUUCAGACUGUGUUGUGUGCUGUAAAAGCUUGUUUCCCAGCUCACUGAAUGGAACACAAUCCUGUUGGCUGUUGUACAAAAUUUGGCUGACGUUGAUGGUACAGGUAUCCUGAAAAAAAAGACAGCAAUUAUAAGAAGCAAUUGAACUCUGUAGUAUAGAUUAAAAUAAUAAGAAGCUAUAGAAUAUAUAGGACACUUACAAAACUACUAAGCAAUGUAAAUAAUGUUGAUUGAAUGAAGGGUUGCAGAAAGCCACAAGCUUAGUUUGGUAGGAGUAAUAGGAAUAGGACAGAAACUACAGAGACAGAAGCACCCAGAGAAGAUACAAAAGAAAACAGCCAAUGAGUCUAAGGCAGCCUCCCAUCUUAACCCUGAACAAAUCCUGAUGGGUUGAAUGAAGUUUGGAAAGAGACUUGAAACUUAGUGAAGAAAUAGCGUCUCGAUUCCCUGCUUUUGUUUACAAGGUCCAAAUGAGUUUGGUCUGCAUGUUUCAAGAAGCACAUGUGUUUUAUGGCACUGCUGAUGUGGAAACAAAGAAUUGACAAGGAUAUUAUGGAGAUGUGUUGAGCAACUCUGUCCAAGACUACAAGUGUGGCCUUUAACUGAGAAAUUAGUUGGUGCCAUCCAUCAAGGAGGUCUGCUUUUUGACAUAAGGAAAAGGUAGGUCCACUUUAAACACAGUGCUAGACUUCUUUGCAAAUAAGAAUCUACCACAGAGGCCUCUGCUAGGAGCAGUGACCUGCUGUGACCACACAGCUGGGAGGAGCAGCAAAAGCAGAUGCUUCCCACAGGUGGAGGUGGAUCAUUCAACGGGGACAACCUUGCUGGGGAGAAUGGGAAGUGCUAGGGCAGAGGAGAGAAGUGCUUGCUCAGAUGCAGGUGUGCUACUCACAUGCCUGCAUGGCCAGCAAGUUUGCAGAUGACCACAAUGAGGGGGUGCAGUCAGUUCUUUGGUUGGGUGGGACUGAGCAGCAGCUCCCUGGAAGCUACGGGGAAGGUAUAGUGGGAGACUGAGAUGUUAAUAGCCACAAAUUGAAAGAAGGGGGAAGUUCUGGAUGUAAAGGGAAAAAAAAAAAAAAGACAACCAAGCUUUAGGACGGGAGCCUGCAGUUCUUGGGGAAGCUCUCACGAAAGAAUAAAUGAGACCAGCAGUUGUAUUUGGAUUAGGGGAAAUUAUUGUUUUCCAUCUCCAAGUAUUUAAUUUAAUAAAAGGAGUAGGGCAAGGGUUGUUUCUGUGCAUAUGGUUGUUUGUGUGGCAUUUCUGGAGUAUUUUCCCUUCACCAAUAAACUGGGUGAUUGUACAGGCUGAAAGGUUGCUUUCUGUUUGGAGAUCUGUGCACACAGUAUGUUUUUUGAACUUCCCCAUGGCUUAAUUUAUGUUGGAGAAAACUAUGAGGGCAUUAAAGGUAAGAGUUUCUGAACACAAGCUGCCGUAAGAUUUGAGGAUAAAAGAAUUCUCUGGUUGGAUUUUUUUUUCUUUACAUUAUAUAUUCACUGGAGCAAAUCUGAAAUGUAUGGGAAAUCAAAGAAAAAUGAGGCACUGAGGACUGUAAACCUCCAAGUAUUUUCUAUACUGGAUAUUAGUGCUGUGGUCUGUCCCUUCUGUGAAAGAAACACUGCUCGUGAAUAUUGUUGAUAUACAAAUGCAAGCCACCUCUUAAUUUUAGGAAGGACUCUGUGAACUGACUUGCUGGUCUCAUGUAUGUUUUUCAAACACUUUGAAUCCUGGUUUUCUCUCUGAAUGCCUUGCUCUCCUGGAGACUGAACCUAGGUAUACUUAAUGUUCUUAUUUUAGAGUGUUGCUGUUCCAAAUUAAGGACAUGUGUGCAAAAAUUAAAUUCUACAUCUGAAGACUAUUUACUGUUGCUUCCAGAAGUAAGGUGAGGGGAGCUGAUUUUAUUUUCUUUGGCAAGAAGGAAAAUUCCAUUUAACUGAGGCAUAUGGCUGUUUACUCAGGAGAAGGGAGUAGCAGAGAAUGUUCAUGGUGUUUCUUUCUGCCACAGCUCAACCUUCCGCUUGCAUCAGUUCGGUUAAAGAUGGCCUAUAGUUGUCCGGGUAGCUUGUUUUUCUCAAGUGUUGUGGGAGAACAUUUUUCUCUUGAAAGUGUGAAGAAUACCCAAAGCUUCAGAAAGUAUUACGCUAAUCUUGGGCAUUCUAAUAAAAUAUUGGAAAUUGAUUUAAAAAAAUGAGUGUUCCCAUCCCACAUGUAUACAGAUUGAAGCAUACCUAGUACAGAAUCAGUAGAAACAGGCAAACUUUUUGUUUACCUGUUCCUGAAAGGUUUUUGUCUUAAGGUUAAUUGUUUUAAUUAUCAAAUAGGUGACAAUGAGUUUUAAAUACUAUUUUAAAUGAGCUUAAAUGCCUUUAAUCUCACGCAACUCUGUAGAAGGGAAAAUAAAUAUGAGAAAAGUGGCAGAAGGUAUUUGAGUAGAGUUUGGGUUGAUUUCCCUCCAGGAGCAAAGCCAUUUGGGAGAAAUUCUUGGAGUGAGCAUCUGUGUGCUGUGUAAGGUGUCUCUGGAGAAGCUAGGAUUAGAUUUUCCUUCCUUUUUGCCUGUCGGGUUUGAGCGAGGCACACUGAGGUACCUUCCCAGGACUUCUCUCUUCUGGUGAGGGCCAUGGCUAGUGCUCCCUGACUGCUUCCCCUUUGGCAAUCGCCAUGAAGGACAGAAAUUCGUAAUUAAAUGCUGCCAUCUAGUUUGUGCGCUUAGAGAUGCGUAAAGCAAAAUGCUGUUUUAAGUAGUACUUGGGGGGGAAUCGCUCCAGGAGCCCUUCUGGAAGCCAUCCCAGCCAGCAUUUUCCCGCGGCCGGGCCCUUGCCGCCGCAGGCCGCCCCGGAAGGCGAGGCCGGUGCCGCCGGUUGCCAUGGCGGCGCGGGCGGCUGCG